CUGCCAGGGUCGCGGCCGCGACGAGUCCGUUGGGACCGGACCCGAUGACCACUGCGUCGACGUUGUUCACUCGACCAGGCUGUC
RNAcentral lists this transfer RNA (84 nucleotides) under Rhodococcus opacus. Its description in RNAcentral is "tRNA-Pro(ggg)". The record is from RNAcentral. Lineage: Bacteria; Bacillati; Actinomycetota; Actinomycetes; Mycobacteriales; Nocardiaceae.